Lotus japonicus is the source of this 1079-nucleotide long non-coding RNA. RefSeq lists it as uncharacterized. NCBI's taxonomy places the organism in Eukaryota, Viridiplantae, Streptophyta, Magnoliopsida, Fabales, Fabaceae. The transcript is spliced from 2 exons. The record is from RefSeq and is a predicted model, not a curated record.
UAAGCUUUCAGCUAGUCAAAUAAGUUAUAAGCUAGCUGAAAUGGCAUGCCCAACAUAGCCUUACACUCUGUCACUAUUCACUCUCCCUCACGCUCUCCCACUCACUCACUCGACAUCUCUCUCUCACUUUCUUUUCUCCCACCAACAUUUUCUUCUUCAUUUUAUUCCUCUGGAACAAAAACACCUCACCAUCAUCUUCUUCUUCUUCUCCUUCUCCUGAUGACAGCCACCACACUCAUCAUCACCGCCACCAUGUUCUUUUCCUCUCUUCCUGGUUGUACCCACCCACAGCCGUCACCACCAUGUGCCAAAACGCCACCACCACGCGUUUCCUCCUCUGCUCCGGCGAAGCCCAGACGCGAGCACCACCAUCCCUCACGCCCAGCCCCAUGAACGACCCACCACGGCCACCAUGGAUGCGAAAACCAGAGAGAAAACGAAACCCUAAAAUCGCCACCUUCAAGCUCCGAUCUCCGGCGAACCACUGAUCUUUUGGAGAAAUCAACACCACCGUUGGACUCCUCUCAUCACCCGCAACAAAACCCCAAAUAAAUUUGAUGUUCCGACAACCCCUGCCGAAAUCCGCCGCCAGCCGCCGCCCACCACCGUCUUCUCCGGCCAACCUUCGCCGGAGGACUCACUCAGUUCAGAACCAGGAAGCCCUUUCUCUCCUCUGCUCGAUUUGAUGAUCAAUUUUUGAGCUUGAUGGUCCUCAGAGGAAGGCAGAAGCUGCUGUUACAGAAGAUGAAGAAGCAAAUUCAGAACCUUAGCCAUGAGGCUUAAGGUAGAAAACGAAAUAUUUUUCUAUUUUGGGUAUUGUUUAAAUUUUUGUAGGGGCUGAAAAUGUUUUUGAAAAUUUAAGGGUAUUUGAGAUGGUUAAUCUCUAAUUAGUUCUGUUGUUGAUGUAUUGAUUACCUCUGAAUGAGCAUGGGUUCGAUAUUAGAUUAGGAGAAGUUUAUGCUGUUGUUGUCCUGUGAUUGAAGUAGCCGCUGUUCUGCCAAAUUCGUUUGUUUCGGUUCGGAUUUUGGAACUGUGUUCUUCAUUGUUAAACUUUUGCCGCUGGUUUCAUGUCGUUUCGA